ACCAGACUCCUACGGGAGGCAGCAGUGAGGAAUAUUGGUCAAUGGUCGGGAGACUGAACCAGCCAAGCCGCGUGAGGGAGGAAGGUACAGAGUAUCGUAAACCUCUUUUGUCAGGGAACAAAGGCGGGGACGUGUCCCCGGAUGAGUGUACCUGAAGAAAAAGCAUCGGCUAACUCCGUGCCAGCAGCCGCGGUAAUACGGAGGAUGCGAGCGUUAUCCGGAUUUAUUGGGUUUAAAGGGUGCGCAGGCGGAAGAUCAAGUCAGCGGUAAAAUUGAGGGGCUCGACCUCUGCGAGCCGUUGAAACUGGCGCUCUUGAGUGGAAGAGAAGUAUGCGGAAUGCGUGGUGUAGCGGUGAAAUGCAUAGAUAUCACGCAGAACCCCGAUUGCGAAGGCAGCAUGCCGGCUUCCGACUGACGCUGAAGCACGAAAGCGUGGGGAUCGAACAGGAUUAGAUACCCUUGUAAC
Molecule: ribosomal RNA, 466 nt
Filed under: uncultured bacterium
Lineage: Bacteria
Description: bacterial SSU rRNA
Rfam family: Bacterial small subunit ribosomal RNA
Source: RNAcentral